This is a long non-coding RNA of Ictalurus punctatus (channel catfish), 1391 nucleotides long. Lineage: Eukaryota; Metazoa; Chordata; Actinopteri; Siluriformes; Ictaluridae. The record is from Ensembl.
AAAGAAUGGGUCGAGGUGGCAGCUAAAGAACUGAAACACAUACUCUGACGCGUUAAAUCCUGCUCUGUUAAAACCGAGAUCACUUCACGAACCUUUUAAACAACCCGGAAUCACCAGACCGGAAGUGAGGAUCUCUGUGGAAACUGGUAGGGACACAGCGGAUCACAGGAUGUGUGAAAUGUAACCCGAACUCCAAGACUUGAGUGCAAACACCAUCAAGCCUGACUUCCAGAAAAGCAGAGACUUCUUCUCCCAGCAGGAGUAGGAAAACAAGAUUGUGUGGCCUACAACAAAAAUACUUGAACUUGUGUAAUAAAAUUUAAACAAUGCAAUCACUGCACUACACCUGCACGUAUCCAUUCAGUCAGCCAAUGUGUUAUCGGGUUAAUGUCGUGUCUCUCAGACAGCAUUUGCACCACCGGGACACUUGAACUCUCACCCCCUGCCAGAAUGCCCUGAUAUUAGAAGAUACGGCCAGGCAUGCCAUUUGGUCUCUGUGGUUUCCUCACUACUUAGCCAGUUGCAUCAAAAUUCGCAGUGGGGUGGGUAGAUGUCUUUGAUAGUGACUUGUAUGUAUACAUUUGUGUUUGACUCCAGUGGUGACAGGAAAAACUUGUCCAGUCCAAUGUCUUUAAUGCUACCACUGUGAGGUGCACUGUAUUUUGACAUCUGCGGUGACAAUAUAGGAUCCUUGUUGCCUAAUUCUAAGUCAUUUCUCUCUUGCUUUGUGCAGGGUGGGCAAAUUAGGCAGAUGGCUUGGCUCAGGAUCUCCAAAAUCCAUCAGCUUUGUUGCCUCUGAUGCCCUCCAUACAUGGGGUUCCGUUCUACCCUCACACAGUUCUUUGGCUAUCUGCACAUGCGUUACCAGACAUUGCAUUGAGACAUUGGGACAGCAAGUGUGCAGGGAGUCAUCAGUGCUUUUAAUUAAACUGUGUAUUCCCUUUUUUGUGUUUUAGAGAACUUGUUUUUGUAUUGAACUGUUUCAGGCAUAAAUUCAAUCCAUUUCUGAAAUUGAACUUCAAGAUCAAAAGUACAACAAUCUUUUGGGCUGGGGGAAAGGGACCCUGGCUCAAUCAGUGUCCUCACUACUGCCACUUGUUUGAUCACUUUCAUAAAUAAACCCUAAAGCACUCUAGAUGUUGUCUGUUUAAUUUAACAAAAGUAUAUAGAGCCUUUGCAGUGAUCUUGUUUUCUAGUUGCUCACUAAGCUCUGUCCAGAUGCUCUGAUUAGGAGUAGCUAUGUUACCAUUUUGUACUAUGGCCUCUUUUGAUGAAUGGAGGACUGUGAAAAUGGAAUCUCUGUCAACUGCUGGUUUCCUGGGCAUCUGGCACAAGCUAAACAUAAUUACCCACUGAAAUAAUCCUGACUCAAUGUCAUGUACAGUAUAAAC